Long non-coding RNA from Malurus melanocephalus (red-backed fairy wren), 2436 nucleotides. RefSeq lists it as uncharacterized. The record is from RefSeq and is a predicted model, not a curated record. The transcript has 4 exons. NCBI's taxonomy places the organism in Eukaryota, Metazoa, Chordata, Aves, Passeriformes, Maluridae.
UUGAGACAACUGAGGGAGUAGAGUCAAACAUGGGCGUGCCAUAUAACCAGUAGYUAUAUAUCCAAAUGAUUUCCCAGUGAAAACUCCUUAACCUAGCUUCGUUCAUCUGUAAUAUCAGCACAUGAUAUACUGCUGAAAAUAAUACCUUUUUACCAGCCAUAACUAAAUGGUGCACCUCUGGAUCAGAACCUGGAGAUGCUGUUUGAAGUGGAAGUAACCAGGAAUUUGAUACCAGAUAUGAAGGGAACUCUCUGCUAGGAAAUGCCUGCCACUGGGGAAAGCCRUUCUACAAUCUUUGCCUUGCCUGGUGACAUCUUCUCAACAAUGGCAUAUCUUCUAUCUUCUGYAGGCUACGAGACCACCUCCCACUGCCCUACGUCAGUGAAAGGCUCCCGGCACUCCCUGCAGCCUGAAAUCUGCAGAGCUACACCCUCCCGCUGAAGUUCCAUUUGAAAGGUUUAGAAUGGAAUAGAUCCGCCGAUAUAACCGGGCUUGACGGCAGGCUUCAGGUCCACCCAGUCCAGUGUCCUGUUAGAGGCCAGACGAAGAAGGCAAGGGAAAGAGUGUGAGAAUGGUGCAAACACYGAUAGUUAAUUCACCAGAUAUAUUCUUCCUUCCUUUCCUAGCCCUUGGCUUACAGCCUUUCCGAGCCCACAGUUUUCAUAUACAAGAGGUAUCGAUGGAUUUUUUUUUUUUCCUUCCAAUCAUGUCUAACACUUUUGAAUACUGUGCUCUGUAAUGCCUGCAAAUGUAGUGGGGUACAUUUUYCCAUUCUGGGAUCCACAAUUUUGCUGAAAGAUGAGCUCCACAGAGUAGUUAUGAGUCAUCUGAGGGGGGAAAAAAGCACACGUCUUUUUGGUAGUUUGAAGUUUUCUGCUUUGUAGCUUCAUGUGCUUCUCUGCCAUUCUUGGAUUAUGAAAACUAAGACAUAGUAAUUUUUUAUCUGCUUUCUCUGUACUAUCACAGUUUUAUAAACCUUUAUCAUAUUCUUUUUCAGCCAUCUGUUUUUUCAAGCUGAAGAGUCUUAGCCUAUUUAAUCACUUUUCACAGAGAAGCUGUUCCAUAUUUCUGCUCAUCCUAGUUGCCCUUCUUUGUAUCAUUGCUAUUUUCUUUUAGAGAUGGUAAGACUAGAAAUGCACAUCAUUCAAGAUUUGUGGAGGCACAAUGGACUUGCAUUCAGCAGAAUGCUGUCUUCUGUUUUGCUUUCCAUCCCUUCCAUAGUGAUUCCUAACACUCUAUUUCCCUUUUCUUUUACUGCAGCUGUGAUUUCUACACACAGUGAUUCCACUUUAUUUUUUCCCCUAAUAGCUGAUUGAGAAAUAAUUCUUGUAAAUUAUUUGCUUUUGUUUCUCUUUGAAAGUAUGUUCAGGAAUUUUGCCAGCACUUGCCUGGGCACUUCUCAGGCCUAGGAACUUGAUGACUAUUGGGUAACAUCUGAAGUUUAGUUGUGAAUAGAUGUGGAGUCAUAUUUGGAUUGCCACACAAACUUUACUGUAAAUAUGCUAAAGACAUUUGGGAAUAAAAUUAACUGAAGCAGGCUGCCAGUUAAUGCAACCUCUCAACAGCAAAAAUAGAGAUAGUAGGAAAGAGUGUUUAUCUUUGAAGACAUUGGACAAUAAGACUGCUCUUGCUAACUUGGGUAGACGAGCUCGAGUAUGUUAAAUAAAAAGUCCUGGAAGCAGAAGUGGUGUGGCACAAUAUCAAGGAUUUAAGGGCUCAUCAGGAAGACUCAAAACUGUGUGAUCAUUGUAYAGAUAAGAUUGUUAGCAUUUAAAAUAAUGAGCAGUAACCAGCAGGGGUUUCUUUGGUWCUGGGCAAGCAAUUUUAAAGAAAAUAAAGUGUCUCUAUCGUGUAACAAUUAGUGUACCAAUUUCACAGUUGGUACUUUGCUCCUUCUCRGGAAUUCAAUACAGAAAAGAAAUUGUAAGAAAUAACUGGAAACAAAGAUUACAGGUUUUGUUUUACUCUUCUCUGUUUCAAUGUAGACAUUUCCCAAAUUUUUUAGAAUAAUGAUUGCUUGAAGAUCUGCAGAAAAUUAAGUGAUUCUGUACAUCUUAGGCCAUUUUGAUCUACUUCAUUUUAUUCAUCUGUUAAGGAAAGGUAAUAUUUACUUACAUAACUCAGGAACACUGAGUGAUAAUUAAUGCUUACAAGAAGURGUAUGAUUUAAAUGAAUAGCUAUGAACUUCCAAAGGAUUAUUAAUUUUAUUAUCAUUGUUAUUACUGUACUGAGCUAUUGGAAAUUACUAAAAGAUAGGCAAUUACUGUGGAUUUUCUUGAGAUGACUUUGUAGGGUGUUAAAAGAAGAGUGUUACACUGCAGAAAGCUUAUAAUGAAGUUAUAAAAGUGAGAUUACAUGCCAUCAUUUAAAAGGGUAUUGUCCAUCCUUUAAGAAAAAAAGUAAAAAUCAUGAAUAAAUACCACAUGAAUAAAAUA